CCUCACUUUGCUUUGUGUGGCAAGCUUUGGCCAAAUUCUCCUGUCCUUUAGACAGUGGAAACCGAAGACCAUUUAGGUUAUGUCUACACUACGCAGCUGUUUGCGACAAGGCUGUGUCGACAAAGCGCCGUUUACACUUGCACUUGCCACAGCAAAACUUUUGUCGUUCAGUUGCAAGUGUAGCCUAAGCUACAGCCCCUGAGCUCUGCCUUGCCUGCAGUGAGGGCACUCUGCAGGCAGGCCGUACAGCGCAGGCUGGCACUGCGUGAUGGCACAGCUGAGAUUCAAUUCCAUGCAGAGAACGACAUUAAAAAAAAGUUCCGGUGGCGAAGUCAAGCAUGUAAACACUGUGAAGUGCCAGAAUUAAGGUGCCUGAACAGCCAGAUCACCAGCCUCAAGAGUCGACAGCUCAGGUUGGAGCAUCAGAGGCAGGAUUUUUAGUGCAGUCACAGUAGCUUUAUUUCUCUGUGGGCUCCAUGGGAGUGUUGACAUUGACUCCGAUAGAAGCAAGAUCAAGCCCUAUAUAGGCAACCUGGGGGCUUGGGGCCAACUGCUAGAAAGGUCCAGGUGCUGCACCUUGGUUUCUGCUGCAUUGUUUUCCCAGAAGCCAUUGGUGUCCAGACUUUUUGGCUUACUCUGACAAGCUACAGUUGAUCUCAUUUUGAAGGUACAGCCUGAGUGUCUCCGUUUUGAUGGCACAGUCUGGGGACACACAUUGUCAGGCUGUAGGAGGAUUCGGGUUUUAUCUUUGACCCCUGCCCCUCGUAGUUUAUGCAGCUGUAGCCAUGGAUCUCAGCAUGCUCAGAGCUGCACACCUCAGGGGGUCAUGGGAAGGAAAUGGCUUGGGGACGUUCCCCUCUGGGAGCCCCAUGACCCGCUCCUGGGGGCACGCAGAUCCCAGAGCUCUUCGGCUUGGUUGGAGGAAUUUAUGGUGUCUGCCAUGACUCGGAAAGCUGCACAUCUCUUCAGAUACCCACUAAGAGCAUCCCGACUGCAAACAGCAAGCGUUGCUGAUGUCUGGCUCACAGGCCAGAGAGCCCAUCUAGUGGGUUGUAAAGAAUGAGACAUGGGAGGAGCACAGACAUGAGGAGAAGUUCAUACCAGGGUGGUUUGAGCAGGGGUUCACGGGCGCACUGACACCCACAAAAACCCUGCAGUGGUCUCUUCUGUCCCACAGGGCUGGGCCUGGCUCCCUGCUGUGGGUGUUGUGACCUGGGGGUUCUGACUACUUGCAGCAACACCUUCCACCUCUGCACUGUGACCCUAAACCCAGCCUGAUGGAAAGGGGCAAUGGGGGGAGCGGCUGUAGAGUGAGCCUGUCCCACACUCAGCCUGCAAUGGGGAGUCAGGCACAGCCCCAUGGGACAGGACACAGCACUGCAGGAUGAGUGUGGGCUGGGCUCACUCUCCAGCCCCCUGCCCUCUGGCCUCCCCUUGGCAUUUGGCGGGGAUUGGGGCUGCGGUGCUGAGGCAGCAGGUGCUGCUGUGGCUGGUCUAUGCCCCCUCAGUGGGCUGAGGAGGAGGAGGAAGGGGCAGUGGCAGGGAAGAGCAACCCAUUGAAUCGGGAGGCUCCCUCCACCACUGGCUCACACAGACAAAUGUUUCCCUGGGACUCCACAGCUCCAAACUGAUGGGGGUCCUUUAACUUCCUCGAUACACGCUGUGCAAGCAGAAGGGGGGGGGGUGUGACUCCACGUUCUCCAACCUACUUCAAGCCGCUGCUUGAUACGGGAUCCUCGCAGGGAGCAGGGCCGGCACUCCCCAGUGGGGCUGGCCAGAGUCUGACUCCGAGCUCUUCAGCUGUAAGACUCAGAACUGACCCAUGCAGAAUCUGCACUUUCAGAAGUGGGACAAAGAGCUAAAGUGAGGUACCCUCAUUACAAACAAAGGAGGCUUCAAAUUGCAAGUGAGAUGGAAUCUGCCCCUUGGUGAAUCCGAGGUGCUCUCGACCUUCAGCUCCUUAGUGCCAGAUGGUGACCAGCCACUGCAAAGGGGUGAAGAGUGGAGGGAAGGUUUCAGAGCCUUUCCCACCACCUGACACCUUCUGUGCAGGGGCCAGUCACAUGAGCGUUCCUGGUGCUCAGGCAAGCACACAAGCUGAAACCCCAUGGCAGUGGGGAGGACUUGGGGCCACAGCAAUUGUUGCACUGCAGAGCUGGCCGGCCAUGAUGGCGGUGGGUGGGAGGGGGGGCACACUGCAGCAUCUCAGACACUUCUGUGACUGGGGGAGAUCCAGGAGGCAAUAUCUCCUGCAGCCCCUUGGGCUGGUGCAGCUGUGCACCACCGCCAGGACAGCCAUUGAUUCACUGUUACUGUUGUCUCUUAGUGCGCCCAAGAGGACUCCAGGCUUAGGAAGAGGGCACCAGGGAAUCCAGGGUUAUUUCAGAUCAUUCAAGAGAGCUGGAGCUGAAUGAAAGAAGUCUCUGUCAUAUCCCUGCUUAAAGAUUUUAUUAUUUCCCUUUCAUUUUCUCUUAUUACAGAGCUAAUUUUUCUUGGAAACUAGCUGUGAUCACAUGAAAGACCUGACAGAAACCAUUUCUGGUUCUGUGAGUUGAGUUUGCCACAAUUAAAACUGAAAUCACCACCUGCCAUCUGGGAAUGGGAUAAGCCGUGAACAUUAGACUUUCAAGUAAUAAAGCAGAGAAGUUUUACCAUUAAAGUCACUCUUAUCAGU
Molecule: non-coding RNA, 2674 nt
Organism: Caretta caretta (loggerhead turtle)
Lineage: Eukaryota; Metazoa; Chordata; Testudines; Cheloniidae
Source: RefSeq, a predicted model, not a curated record